UACGUAGGUAGCAAGCGUUGUCCGGAUUUAUUGGGCGUAAAGCGUACGCAGGCGGUCUGGAAAGUCUGACGUGAAAUCCCGGGGCUCAACCCCGGAACUGCGUUGGAAGCUAUCAGACUUGAGUAUGGGAGAGGUUCGUGGAAUUCCAGGUGUAGGGGUGAAAUCCGUAGAGAUCUGGAGGAACACCGGUGGCGAAAGCGACGAACUGGACCAAGACUGACGCUGAGGUACGAAAGCGUGGGGAGCAAACAGG
Molecule: unclassified non-coding RNA, 253 nt
Filed under: uncultured Bradymonadales bacterium
Lineage: Bacteria; Deltaproteobacteria; Bradymonadales
Description: contains 16S-23S intergenic spacer region
Rfam family: Bacterial small subunit ribosomal RNA
Source: RNAcentral